Molecule: long non-coding RNA, 554 nt
Filed under: Microcebus murinus (gray mouse lemur)
Lineage: Eukaryota; Metazoa; Chordata; Mammalia; Primates; Cheirogaleidae
Description: lncRNA (ENSMICG00000048546.1)
Source: RNAcentral
GCUACACCUCGCAUGGCAUGUGCAUUGUGAACUCUACAUGUGCGGCAUUGACAGUGGUGUUUGAUAGCAUGUGGGCUGUUUAGAAUCUGCCCUUUAUACAGAAAUGAUAUGUCUGGCUUUGUUUCCAGGGUUACAGAAACUUCUUUGGUCUAUUUCCAUGACUGCGUUCAGUGGAGGCAAGUUCUUUCUGCUUUUUGAGCCUCUGCAAUCAACUUCCAGGAUAUUGGAGGCAUAAGACCUCCCUCCUUGCUUCGUCUGGGAGGAUUUGCACUCAGUUCCUCAUGCAAAGAGCUACUCAUGGAAUUCCUGCCUUUGCACUUGCUGGAGGAGACCAAGGUUUCCCAGAGCGUUGCUUGCAGUUCAGUCUUCAUAAUCCGUUUACAGACAUGCCUCGCAUGCUGGGAGAGAGCAUCGACUGGGCUCAUGUGACAGUGUGGCCGGAACCCCAGGUCUCCUGGGCCCUUCCCAGGGAUUGUGGACAAGUCCCAUCAUCUUACAACCACCGGGCUUCUGUAUUUCUAAAUCAAGCAUGAUGUCUUCCCGGUAGAAUUCGG